UUCCUUUGCUGGUUUAUAAGAGUGAACACCGGAAUGCUCAUGCCACAGCGUGACAUGUGACUCGCACAAACCUUGUUAGGAUGGUGGCACAUUGACACUGAGAAA
Mus musculus (house mouse) is the source of this 105-nucleotide non-coding RNA. Lineage: Eukaryota; Metazoa; Chordata; Mammalia; Rodentia; Muridae. The record is from Rfam.